GGAUGUGACGGAGAUCUGGCUACAACAUCAGUCACCCCAUUAACUGCCAGGGUUGAUUUGGCUCAUCUGGCUGACUAGGCAGGUGUCCCCUUUCUCCCUCACCACUGCUUGUGCGUCCCUCCCAAAGCUGCACACACAGAAGACGACAACCUUCCCCAAUAAAGGAGGACAGUUCUUCGUUUAAGGGUAUAUGAGUAGCUGCACUCCCCUGCUAGAAUCCCCAAACAAGCUCUCAAAUACAAAAUAUUACAUAAAAUCCAAGGAGGAUAAUGACCAAAAAUGCUAAUUAUCUUGCUAAAACAGUCUGUUACUAUUGCUUA
RNAcentral lists this small nuclear RNA (320 nucleotides) under Microcebus murinus (gray mouse lemur). Its description in RNAcentral is "7SK RNA (ENSMICG00000023611.3)". It matches the Rfam family "7SK RNA". Rfam says of the family: 7SK was discovered as an abundant small nuclear RNA in the mid-70s but a possible function has only recently been suggested. Two independent studies have found that 7SK RNA binds the CDK9/cyclin T complex (known as elongation factor P-TEFb). Lineage: Eukaryota; Metazoa; Chordata; Mammalia; Primates; Cheirogaleidae. The record is from RNAcentral.